Molecule: ribosomal RNA, 1561 nt
Filed under: Ondatra zibethicus (muskrat)
Lineage: Eukaryota; Metazoa; Chordata; Mammalia; Rodentia; Cricetidae
Description: 16S ribosomal RNA
Rfam family: Bacterial large subunit ribosomal RNA
Source: RNAcentral
ACUAAACCUAGCCCUACAUACAUAAAAUACAACUAUAAACAAACAUAAAACAAAACAUUUGACAAAAGUCAGUAUUGGAGAAAGAAAACCACACUAGGAGCUAUAGAAACAGUACCGCAAGGGAAAGAUGAAAGAUAAGUUAAAAGUACAAAAUAAGCAAAGAUUAAACCUUGUACCUUUUGCAUAAUGAGUUAACUAGAAAACCCCUAGCUAAGAGAGCUUAAGCUAGAAACCCCGAAACCAAACGAGCUACCUAUGAGCAGUAAUAGAACUAACCCAUCCAUGUAGCAAAAUGGUGGGAUGACUUGCAGGUAGAGGUGAAAAGCCUAACGAGCUUGGUGAUAGCUGGUUGCCCAAUAAAGAAUUUAAGUUCAACUUUAAGAUUACCAUAAGAAAAUUCAAUCAAAAUGUAAUCUUAAAUUUUAGCCCUAAGAGGGACAGCUCCUAGGGAAUGGAAACAACCUUUUAUAGUGAAUAAAUCAAAACUGAAAGACCAUUGUUGGCCUAAAAGCAGCCACCAAUAAAGAAAGCGUUAAAGCUCAACACUAUAUUACUUAAAUACCAUAAGCCAAAAUGAUUUCCUAUAAAAUUAAUUGGGCUAAUCUAUACAAAUAUAGAUGAAAUACUGUUAACAUUAGUAACAAGAACUAUGUUCUCCAGGCACAAGCCUAUAACAACACGGAUAACCAUUGUUAGUUAACACCUAUAAGUGAAUACUCCGCUAAUACAAAACACCUAUAUUAAGAUGUUAACCCAACACAGGAGUGCCAUAAGGAAAGAUUAAAAGAAGUAAAAGGAACUCGGCAAACAAGAAUCCCGCCUGUUUACCAAAAACAUCACCUCUAGCAUAAAAAGUAUUAGAGGCACCGCCUGCCCAGUGACAAAAGUUAAACGGCCGCGGUAUCCUGACCGUGCAAAGGUAGCAUAAUCACUUGUUCCUUAAUUGGGGACUAGAAUGAACGGCUUAACGAGGAUUCAACUGUCUCUUACUUCUAAUCAGUGAAAUUGACCUUCCCGUGAAGAGGCGGGAAUAAAACAAUAAGACGAGAAGACCCUAUGGAGCUUUAAUCUCCUAUUUCAACUCUUUAAAUACAAAUCCUAAAAGGAUCAAAAAAUGAGAGAUAAAAUAGAGAUUUAGGUUGGGGUGACCUCGGAGCACAAACUAACCUCCGAAAGAUUUAUUGACCUAGACCAACAAGUCAAAGUAAUAAAAAUCAAAUUGACCCAAUCUUUUUGACCAACGGACCAAGUUACCCUAGGGAUAACAGCGCAAUCCUAUUCAAGAGUCCAUAUCGACAAUUAGGGUUUACGACCUCGAUGUUGGAUCAGGACAUCCCAAUGGUGUAGCAGCUAUUAAUGGUUCGUUUGUUCAACGAUUAAAGUCCUAUGUGAUCUGAGUUCAGACCGAAGUAAUCCAGGUCGGUUUCUAUCUAUUAACUAUUUCUCCCAGUACGAAAGGACAAGAUAAAUGGGGCCUCCUUAACCAAAGUGCCCUAAAACUAAUAUAUGAAAUUAUCUCAAUUUAGUAAGUUUGUAGCAUUACACCCUAGAUAAGGGUUCC